GCCGGGAGGGAGGAUAAUAGUGGGAGGGGGAGGGGCGGGGAGCUGCAGGCGCGGCCGUUGAUUGCGCUCCCAGGCGCGAGGAGGAGAAGCAGCAGCGGCGGCGCCGCGAUAGGCGCUCGCUUUACUGGAGGGCGGGCGCGCGCUCCCAGCCGCCGUCACGCAAAGCCGUCACGGCGCGCGGGGGCGGGUGCCGGGGCGCGCGGCGGGGCGCGCGCGCGCCGGCAGGCCGAGCAGGCGCGGCACGCACGCACGCGGGAGGCUGCGUUCGCUUCCGCUCUCUUUCUCUCCACCCCUCCCCCCAUAGCCCCGCCAGAAGCGCGCGCGGGGCCACGCCCACCAUCCGUUUGGGGGGUCGGGAGGGAGGCGGGGGGGCGAUCGCGCUGGUGUACGCAGGCGCGGGCUGGGAUGACGUCAUGGCAUGGGGAGGGGGUCGGCGGCAGCGGUGCGUGAGGGCGCGGCCGGGCCGGGCCGAGCGGCGCUCAGGUACCGACCUGCCUCGUCCUCCGCUGCUGCCCGCCAGCUGAGCACCAGCGGCUCGCCCGGGGCCGACGGCAUAAGGACCGGCGGCCCCGCAUGCUGAGGCCGCGGGGUGCGGGGGAGCGCGGCCUUGGAGCUGGGGGGCGGGGGAGAGAGAGGGGGACCGGCCGCUCUGUCGCUGGGACGCGAAGGCCGCUGCUUAGGUAAAGAGUGGGGUGUUUCAGCUGCACGCACGCGUGGUCUCUGUGGCCUUUGGGAACAAUGCUCAGUCAUAGAAAGAUGAGUUUCAGACACUGGAGCCCUGAUACCACAAGCUUUCCUGCUUUUGCAAGCACUGGAGUCUGACAUAUAUGCAGCGGAAUGCAGAAGGAUUGAGCAUUUUCUGCUUCAGUUGUUACCAUCCAUCACACUUUGCUCAAGUAGCAAUCCUGUGGCCUCACCCAGCUCCCCUUACCCAUGUAAUCUGCCUUCAACAAAAAACUUCCUAACUUCGGUUAUCUGCCAGCCACGGGCAAAACUGGAUCCCUUGUUCUGAACUCUGCUUGCAGUCUCAAUGGUUUAAACCUGGAGAAGAAUGACCGACCUAAACAGAAGUGCUCUGUGCUUACUGGGUAACCGGUGUGAACAUUUGUCACACCAUCACUAGACUUUUCUGUAACAUCUUAACCAAACUCUUCUACGUUUCUGGCUGUGAUCACCAGAUUUACUUUGCAACUUCUAUGGCUAGAUGUGGGCAUCCUGCUCUCCUCAUUUGUAAGCUCGUGCGACUCUACUAAUUCCAGUGGGAACACACAAGAGGUGAUUCCAUGGCAGGUCUGGCCAGCUGGCCUUACUGCUGGCGUGUAUGCUGAGAUACUGCAGAAAUGUUUUCCUGGAGGUUACUAUGUAAGGAGCAUAUCCUAUGUCUGCUUCCUUGGAGACAGUGGUGCAGCUAAAUGAUGGAAUAGGUUUAUAUCCUAUUUCAGAUUCUGGGUGUUUUUUAACAGAUAUUCUGUGUUUUACCUCUUUAGCGCUUUGGUUUGUCUCUUCAGGUUAUAAUACUUGAAUUACUGACUGCAUUAAAAAGAUAUGUAUUGAUUUUCUUCUAUUUGAGUAAUAAACACUUAACCCCAAGCCACCCAUGCUCUGGCAGCAGUGGCAGGGUACUUCAAAAUGGUAACAAUAGGUGCAUCACAAGAUAUAUUCCUCCCUGAUAUUCCAGAGCCCUGUCACCCAUGUGGAGGAUACUUUUGGGCCCUAGAAAAGUACAUAUCACAAAUUCAGGAUACCUAUAUUUUUUCAGAACAGUUUUUCCCACCUACAAAUCCCUGUCCAUAAAUGUGGUACCCACAAAGAAGCAGGUCUCUAUCUUCUCCAGAUAUUGAUCUCAAACAAUGUGCAGGUGUCACGUGUAGGCAGAAAAUUUAGAAGCAAAGGUUGUUUUGCAGCCUGCUGUUACCACAUUUUUGUGUCAAGCCACACCCAGCAUGGGUGUAGGAUGCUGUGGCAGGACGAAGGCCUUGCUGAGAUACUCUGCAGAAAUGGAGCAGGCCAAAGGAAUCAUGUUUAACAUGCAUGUACUCUCAUCUAUACUCAAAUUUCCCUGUCUGGAGAACUAAUUUGUUCCAUGGCAAAGACUAGAUGCAAAAUAUAGCACAUAUGCACUGUGGCAACUGGGAUUUCAGGACCAUGGUUGAAAAAGGGGAGUGCUUUGUCUGGCAGCAUAGAUAUCUCAGUGACUCAUGUCUGAGCACCUCAUGCAUCCUUCCAGGACGGUCCUGCCCGAGAUCAGGCAGCACUCAGCAAAGCAGCUGGAGCAAGAUCUGUCUUACGCACACCACAGUUGUGGACUUCUCUGCUUGAGAUGGAAAUUUCCAGGGAUUUUACUUAGUGUUUUGAGGGGAAUAAAAUGCUGCUUCAGGAGUUCCACACUUUUUGUGGUCUUUGACUUACAUUUUUUCCAUUAAUAGAAUCACAGAGUCAUAAAAUAGUUUGGGUUGGAAGGCACCUUCAAAGCUGAUCUAGUCCAAACCCCUGCCAUGAGCAGGGACAUCUUCAACUAGAUCAGGUUGCUCAGAGCCCUGUCCAGCCUGGCCUUGGAUGUUUCCAUGGAUGAGGCAUCUGCCACCUCUCUGGGCAACCUGUUCCAGUGUUUUACCACCCUCAUUGUAAAAAAAAUCAUCCUUAUAUUUAGCCUGUAUCUUCCAUCUUUUAGUUUAAAACCAUUACCCCUUGUCCCAGCAUAACAUUAUCAUUCAAUCGCCAUCUUCACUUUUUUUCAGAAUGGUACUACCUGUGAUUUUCUCCCAUGUAGGCCAUAUACCCCUCUAUUGAGGCAAACAACAAGAACAAGUUUAUUUCCUAGCAUACUCAUCUAUUAUCUUUUCUUCCAGCUUCCUCUGGGCUCUGAAUCACACUUGACCACUCGCCCUGUUAGGACUCAAAAAAAUCGUGAAGACUUAGUCAGUGCUAAGGUCCAAUUAUUUUAGUUGUGCUACUGAAUAAUGCACUGAAAAGCAAGAUGCCUGGAGUGCAUCAAAGGCCUAGUGAAGGUCUAUAGAGACGCCUGUGUUAUUUUAGGAAGAAAUAUGUGCAGCUCAAAUAAUGUAUUACUACUGCAUUUAAAGAUCUAUGACAUGAAGAGAACACAGGGUGCUUCUAGUAACAGAAGCUUGAGAGCAUCCUUGGCACAAGAAUAAAGUAACUAGCUACAAAGUGUAUGAUAUUUCCAUUAUGAAAUAUGAUAAUCAGUUGGAGAAGCACUAUAAAACAGAUAAGAGACAGGAAAAAUGUAGAUGGAGAUGAAUUUUAGUUUUGAGGUGCUGGGCAAUGAAGUACCUCCAUGAGCUAUGCAAGAACCUGUACCCCAUGCUGCACUUGGGUCUGCCCUCAGCAGGGAAACCUGGGGGAGGGUCUUGCAUUGAGCUGGGCAGCUGGAUGAGGUGAAAUGUGCAUUGUCCCUGCAAGAGAGAGGUUAGAAACAGUUUUGGAGCCACCCACCAUGGUGACCAUCUGCCCUGGGGAUGACAGCAAUCUCAGUGGUGCCCUAGGUGGUGAGGGACAGAGGGGGGCAUGGAGAAGCAGCUUUGGGAAGGUGGCCACCUCUUCAAAUGCAGCUCUGUUAGGCAUCUGCAAGUCAUGGUAGUAGCUCUUCGGCAGAUGGGGUACCAGCACCUGCUGAGCCUGCACAGCAUGCAGCUGGAUGCUGCAGUGUUCAAGGAGUUUUGAAUUCCUCCGUGAAAAAGCAAUGUGUGGAACAGCUUCUGCAGGUUUGAAUUGGUCCUUGCUUGACAGCCAGGAGUGGCUUAUGGUAUUCUUUGAGAAUGAUAAAACCUUUCACAGACCUGUCUCAAGCAUGUGGGAUAUUGCUGUGACCUUGAGGUCUCUGAUGUCAAGUAUGGGUUCACAGUGUGAGAAAAGAAGUAGGUUUGAGGCAGACCCUUGUGCCUCUUGUUCCCCCAAAGCUUCUCAGAAAGGCAGUGAGGACCAAGCUGCACUUUGAGACCACAGAGACUGACGUUACUUGAGGCAGAGUAAUCUUAUUUAAGUGGGAGUUAGUGGAGCCCAAGAUCCUGAUUGUACCAUCUCAGUGAUGAAUUAAUUCUUCAUGACCACAGGUGAACACGAGAAAAGCACGCAGGGGGCCAUGCAAGCCCCGCAUGGCCUUUUGGUGAGAGGCAGGAGCCAUUUCAAAGUGAUAAACAGCUGAACACUGUGCUGGCAUUAAUGCAGCCGCUAAGAGAAUUUCUCUUAUGUUAAUCUAUGAAUUUCAUAGCCCAACACUCCAUUACUUAUUUAUAGAUUUAUAGCUCUUUCCCCUCCCUCCCCCUCCAAGCAUCUGGCUGCUGUGUAUGAAACACACAGUUGCAAUUACAAAAUGUCUUCUGAAAAACUAUCACCACCCCUGUCGCCCACUGCUGCGAGUCGGGGUAGUAGGCAAUUACAGACUUUGCACGCUGGUUGUUGGCUUGGCACCUGCAGGCUCAGGAGCACCCGCUGAGCACCCAGGGUGCCACCCAGGGCCCACCCCACACUCUGGCUCAGCUUAUGCCAGAGCUGGGACCAGUUGCUGUGCCAGGGCGCAGGGUGGGACCCAUGAACAGGGACACUUUCCUCCAGCAGCAGUGACAGCAGUCUCCGUUGCACCUCAGAGGGGUGUAGGUGGCUCUAGUCCUCCCUAGUGUUUAUGUCAGUAAUAGAUCAGUUAAUAGAUCAGUUAAUGGUAUCUGCUGCAUCAUUUUCUCCUGUGAGCAGUAUUUUUUGUUGUGCAUUGGAGCAACAAUCCUACAUGUGGAAAACUGUUCUUCUCAGGAACUGUGUUUUGGGCUGUCUCUGGGCUGGGGAAGUAUUGCUGUGUGUAUUGUGUAGGGUUGUCUUUUAAAUGAUUUUGUACAUAUAUUUUUAUAGUUUUUAAUUUUUGCUGUGAUUUACAUCCAAGCUGUAUAUUUAACUGACUGCAGGAGUUGGGAUCCUCUUCGGAACCAUGUGAGAGGAAAGGCAGCCCUGGGAGUGUGGUCCUUAUGUGGAGGCUACCUGGCUGCUGACAUCUCCAGGUGCAGUCCUAGGACUUCACAGAAAUUGGAAAAAAAAAGCAUUGCUACUGCUGUGAGAGAUUCAAUAAGAAAAGCAACGUUCUGAAGAUAAAUAUGUUACAUAUGCAGUAUGAGUUUGGGAGGGUAACUGGUACCUCUAAUAACAGCCAGGAGCAAACAGAUAGCUGUGAGAGAGUACAGCGCAUGCUUGUGUGUACCACAGUAGGUCAUGCACAUUAUGUUUUCUGCCAGACAAGAUUUCUCUAUAUGUUUCAGAGAUAGCCCUAAGAAAAUUGUUUCUCGGCAGUGAAGAUGCAAAGCUCAAAACGCAAAGAAUAAAAGUUGCACAGUCACUGGCGGAAGUCAACACUUGCUACCUGUUAUCACAUUGUGCUUUCUAAUAUGUCUCUAUUAUUUCCACACCAUGUGCUGUGCUGAAGCGCUGAGAUCUUGGUUAUAGCAGUUACCUUCGUCAUAGCGUUGAUGGAGGGUUCAAGGACCUCAAGUGACAUUAAGCUGAUACCUGGUUCCUCAAUACCAAUACAGAGGCUUUAGGAGCAGCUGCCUUGUAUUAUUACAUUUUACCUUGCAAGUGCUUCAGCUGGGAUGUAUUAUCCUGCAAAGCUCUUAGUCAUUUUAGUACUUCUGCCUCAUAUGCUUUUGUAUUGUCAUUGAAUAUAUUUGUGGUGUCUAGGUGUUACUGCUGGUAUCUUUGUAUUUUCCUGAAGCUGAAGGACGAUAUCACUUAGCUUUGUAGAUAUAUACAUUUUUUUUCUCCCAUAUGUUUCUAAUAAAGAGUUUUAAAAGAUAUCAUGCUUAUCUUAAAGAUUAUAACAGAACUGUUCUGCUGCUAUUGACAAAAUUGAUAAAUAAUAUUCUUCUAUGGCUGUGUCAGUACUUCAUAAUAUUUUACAAAGAUUCUGUUCUAUUUAAGUGAACUUGGUUUUCUGUUGCCCAUUAACUUCCCAAGUAUUUUUAUAAAAUUGCUUUACUUACAGAAUAAUUAAAAGAUUAUUUUUUAAAAAAUGCUGUUUCUAAUCCAGGCAGGUUUGCAAGUGUUAGUAGGAAGUUCAAUGGCAAGAGCUGAGUCAAAUCUGAAAUUCUUGAUUAGCAGCUUUAAUCCUACUCUGAAAAGGACCUACACAGAUAGCUCUCUGCACCUGUCAAAACCACUAUCAUAGUAAUAAUUUAUUUUACCACAUUAUUCAAGUCCUUUGAAUUCAAGCCUUCUGCACAGGAGAGCUGUGUCUCAUGCCAUGGACCGAGUAGGUGACAUAAGCCCAUUUUCCUCUAAGGAGGUAUUCCAGUAGGAAAAAUAAUUUAUGGGGGAAGACAAUAAUUUCCUAAGUUUCGAUGCUUUUGUUACAUGACUGUCAUCUUUCAAAUUCAAGAGUUCCAUCUAGAGGAAUCCUAUUUCAUGAGCCUGGUUUUGCUGGCCUUCUAAUGUGUGUCAUGUUAGCUGGCUGAAAAUAGAUGAAUUAAUUCUUUUUUUCUCAGUUUUCUUUGUUGAAUACCUAUGAAUUUUGUUGCUUCUCCCUGACAGUUUUUGAAACAACAUUUUAACAUCAGUAUUCCCUGCUUGUGCUUAAGAUAUCUCUACGUUUCUGUUUACCGGGUGUGCUGAAGAGAGAGAAAUUCAGUUCGUGUCUGACUGUCACUUAUGAAUUUGUAGCCCAGAAAGUUACAAGGCUCAGAUUUUCCCAUCAACAGAAAUAAAAUAUAUCCUUAAGCAAAAAAAUAUUUAGUGUAGCUGAACAGACUCUGGGAAUAAUAAAACUGUGUAAUAAUACAAAAAAUAUUGAAUGCAGACAUACCCACUAAGAACUAAUGUUUCUGGAAAUAGAAGUAAAUAUUUGUUCAGUUUGUUUUAGGAGCCACUGUUUCCAAGUCUGUUUUUCUUACCCCAUAGAGAAAUCUGGAAAAAAAAAAAAUCAAGAAAAAUCAAGAUGAAAUGCAAACACAAGCAAUUUACUAUUGUCUUUUGGGGUUAGGAAUUAAUUUUUUUUUUUUUUUUUAAUCUUUUAUCUUGUAAACCUUUUAGGCCCUUCUGCAGCUCAGAUACUCCAGUUUCUCUUUUUUAAUAUUCUUUGUCAUACAGAGAUGAAAUACCUUGGUAAUAUUUAAUAAUGAAGUCUCAUAUCUAAAACUAUACUAGUAUGAUCACAGAAUCGUAGAAUGGUUUGGUUUGGAAAGGGACCUUAAACAUCAUCUAGUUCCAGUUCCCCUGUCACGGCCAGGGAAACCUUCCACUAGGUCACGUUGCUCAAAGCACCAUCCAACCUGGGCUUCGACACUUCCAGGGAUGGGACAAGCACAACAUCUCUAGGCAACCUGUUCCAGUGCAUCACCACUCUCAUGGUGGGUAUUACUGUCUCUCACAGUAUCCUCCUGGACAGGCACACAGCACACAGCUGGGUAAACACACAAGGCCGUGGGUGAGCAAUUGGCCGACAGGCCGGGCUCAAAGGGUUCUAGUAAAUGGGGUAAUGUCGGGCUGGCGACCAGUCAUUAGUGGGUUCCGCAGGGAUCCAUCUUAGGGCCAGCACUCUUCAAUGUCUUCGUAAAUGACUUAGAUUCAGGACCUGAGGGAUUGCUUAGUAAGUUUGCUGAUGAUACAAAAUUGGGAGGAGCUGUCAACACGCUCGAAGGCAGAGAGGCCCUGCAGAGGGACCUGGACAAAUUGGAGAACUGAGCAAUUACCAACUGUGUGAAGUUCAACAAGGGCAAGUGCCAGAUUUUGCACCCGGGACACGGCAACCCUGGCUGUACAUGCAGACUGGGGGACAAGGUGCUGGAAAGCAGCUCUGCAAAGAGGGGUCUGGGGGUUCUGGUCGAUGGCAAGUUGAACAUGAGCCAGCAGUGUGCCCUGGCAGCCAAGAGGGUUAACUAUGUCCUGGGGUACAUGCAUCACAGCAUUGCCAGCUGGGCAAGGGAGGUGAUUGUCCCGCUCUGCUCUGCACUGGUGCAGCCUCACCUGGAGCACUGUGUGCAGUUCUGGGCAACACAGGAUAAAAAGGACAUAAAGCUACUGGAGAGUGUCCAGAGGAGGGCCACAAAUUUGGUGAAGGGUUUAGAGAGGAAGCCAUAUGAGGAGCAGCUAAAGUCACUGGGUCUGUUCAGCCUGGAGGAGACUGAGGGGAGACCUCAUGGCGGCUACAGCUUCCUCACAAAGGGAGGAGGAGGGGCAGGCACUGAGCUCUUCUCUUUGGUGACCAGUGACAGAACUCGAGGCAAUGUCAGGAAGAUGUGCCGGGGGAGAUUCAAGUUGGACAUUAGGAGAAGGUUCUUCCCCCAGAGGGUGGUGGAACACUGGAACAGGCUCCCCAGGGAGGUGUCACGGCCCCAAGCCUGACAGUGUUCAAGAAGAGACUGGACAGUGCACUCAGGCAUGUGGUGUGAAUUUUGGGGUUCUCCUAUGCAGGGCCAGGAGUUGGACUCAAUCUUUGUGCAUCCCUUCCAACUCAGGGCAUUCUAUGAUUUUGUGAAGCCAAUUUCUAGAUAUUUAUGUGUAAGUGAAACUAGAAGCUUUAUGGGAAUAGGUUUUCAAUAGGUUGUACUAGACAGUGUGUUUUCUGAUGUUUUUACUGAAUUUAGUUUUCAAAUUUCUCUCCAUGUAAAAGCACAAGUGGAUCUUAGCAGCAGUAAAUUAAAAUGGUGCUAAGUUUUUGUUUUUCCUGUUUAAUUUUAAUGUUUUUACACAGUAGUGUAUUGCCCUGGCUUGUUUCUCCCCAUCUCCAAUUGCUGUUGCUCCUGUUUAAAUAUUUGAAAUGACAGUUUCUUCCAUGACUUGGAUGCAUGCCGAGGAGGGCAGCAAAGCUGGGGAAGGGGCUGGAAGGCAUGUCCUGUGGGGAGCCGCUGAGGACCCUGGGUCUGUCUGCUUUGGAGAGAAGGAGGCAGAGGGGCAACGUCACUGCUGUCUCCAGGUUCCUGAGGAGGGGAAGUGGAGAGGGAGGUGCUAAGCUCUUCUGCCUGGUCCCCAGUGCCAGGAAACAUGGGAAUGGCUCUCAGCUGUGUCCAUCAGGGGCGGUUCAGCCUUGACAUGAGGAAACAUUUCUUUAUUGAGAGGUGGUCAAACCCUGGAAGAGUCUUCCUGGAGAGGUGGUCGAUGCCCCACGUCUGCCAGUGCUGAAGAGGCAUUUGGGCAACAUCCUUAGUACCAUGCUUUAACUUCUGGUGAGUGCUGAAGCAGUCAGGCAGCUGGACUAGGUGAUGGUUACAGGGCCCUCAGUCUGAAGCAGGCCAUGCUCCUCACCUAAGGGCUUGCGAAUCUUUCUGAGGUGAACAAUACCUGCUCAUUUCCUGUGGAUUCUUUUUUCAUUCUUGUACUCAUUUUUAGAAUUACCCUAUCAGUUUUUCAUGAAAAAACAUGCUAAAACAAAAGAGUCUGAGAACAACAGUACUCUAACAAAGAGAAGGUCCAUAGGGCUGCUCCUAGGGCUCAGUGUCUGAGACUGGCCUUCCCUGGGACCCCUGCCCACCGCCACCGUCUCCUGCCAAGGGCACAGGGGACGUGUCUCAGCUCAGCCUGGGACCUUGGGUCCCUGCCUGAGCUGAGUUGCAGGUGUGUGUGCCCGUCUCGUCUCGGCCUCUGUCCCUGGCUGGGCCUGGGCCCUGCCCUGCAGAGAGAGGCUCUCCUGGAUGGAUGGAGCCCUCAGGGCUCUGUAAGAACUUGUCAUGCAGAACUCAAGGCAUAACACAGCAUAACUAUUAAAUUCUUUUCUAUUCUAUCCUAUGUAUUGUAUUCUAUUCCAUGUGCUCACCGUGAGUCAGAUAAGGAUGGGAAUAUUAUUUACAUGAAAUGCCAGGGGGUUUUCAGCUCCAGAAACACUUUCAAGGACACAGAACACAAAGGAUACGAGUGGAAACAGGAUUUGAUUAUAUUUUAUUUUAUUUUAGGUUAUUCUAUGUCAUCUACUGACUCUGUUUACAGAGCCGAUGCUCAUGAGCAUUAACACAAUGCCCAUGCGCAGCCAGGAGCAGGCUGAUGCAUUCUUCAGUUUACCUUGAAGAAACAUCCCUUGCAGGCUGGCAAAGGCAAGUUGCAGAACUGCAAGAACAGCAGCAGCAAUCUAGGCCAAGCUGUCCCUGUGUCCUGAAGAGGGAGAAUGUGAGGAAUGAGGAUCAGGACAGACCACACACAAAAGAAGAUGAGGAAGGAGAAGAAGAUGAGGAAGAAGAAGAGGAAGAUGAGGAAGAAGAAGAAGAAAAACAAGAAGAAGAAGAUAAGGAAGAAGAAGAGCUGCGUGAUACUGUGAGGUAUUUUCCAAAGUAUGGCAGAUAGUGAUGACAAACAGAGUUUUUCCCCUUUGAAAACUUUCUUGGUUCCUAUGCUACUUGGCUAGGGCUGCAUGAAAAGCGCUCUUGUUCCUGCGCGGUGCUUGGGUUGCAUGCAGGGAGAGCUGAAAAGUGGGAGAUCCAGAUGGUGCAGCAAGCUGGGAGCCCUUCCAAGCACAGGCUGUUUUGCAGCAGCCAGAACCCCUGGGGGAAUGGAAUCCAGGGAAGAGAAGAGCUGGCUCCUGCUGCAAAGUUGCUCUGGGCAAGAAAGCCUGAGAGAGCUCAGGCUGAGGGCUGUGCUCAGUGCUGUGGAGGACAAGAAGGAAUUCCUAGGAGAACAUUUGGGACCCACCCUGGGACUCCAAGAAGCUUCCUCCUCCCAGCUGCAGGGCACGAGAGACCAUCUUCCUGGUGCUUUAGCAGCAGGCAGGAACCAAGCCAAAAGGGCUCAGAGGAGCUCUGAAAAGUGGUCAUGCUCAAUGCUGCAGAGGAAGGCAAAAAACCCCCGGGGACCAGUGCCAAUCUGCCCCGGGGGAAAAUUCCUUCCUGACCCCAAUGCUGGCGAUCGGCUGUUCCCUGAGCAUGUGAGCCAGACCUGGCUCCUUGUCCCAUAGGCCGGUCAUGCCUCCCAGGAGCUGCCCAAGCCCUAUGAUCACUAAACCGGGAGUCAUCUCAUGGGCUUCUGAGAGUGCCCAGAUGACUAUGGCCAGAUUGAACUUGAGGGCAAGAAUCCUUCCUGUGCCUGUCAGGACAGCAGGGGCUGCUUCAAACCACUGGGAACCCUGGCAACGUCUGUGUAUCCUAUUGCUUACCACUGCUGCCCCUGGCUCUGAAGGGGAUGAAGACAGUGAGCUCCGCAGUGCUCCUCCAGAAGUCAUUCCCUUGGUCUUACCACUUCUGUCCAGCUGAAAAGACCUGAUAGCCUUGGGUACUUCUAGGGCUUGGUGGUUCUUCUGAUCUCCUGAGGGGUAUGCAUCUGUUCGCUGAACAGCGAAGUAGGAUUUCUAUCCAUCAGGUGCAUUUUGAACUUAAUCCUUUGCCAUUCCGAUUGUUUGUAGGCAGUUUGUAGGUUGCUGAAGGUUUGUGAAUCGAGGUUGUUUGUUUAGGGCUUCUUGUUUCAGCCUUGUUUGGUUGGGGUUAGUUGUUUCAGGUUGUUUAGUUUAGGGUGGUUGGUGGAGGCUAUUUUGGUUUAGAUUUAUGUUGUUUGUUCUAGGCUGGCUUAGGUAAUUUGGUUUAGGUUGGUUGAGGCUGGUUGGUUGGUUGAGGUUGGUUGGCUGGUUGAGGCUGGUUGUUUACAGCUGGUUGUAUUUGGUUGCUUUUUUUACACUGAAUUAGGUUCUAAUUAGGUUGUUGGUAGAUUCUUUCUUUCUACCUUGUUUGAAGCUUGUUGUUUUGAAGGUUGGUUGAAGUUGGUUGCUUUGGCUGGGUUUCCAUGAGUUCUUUACAUUAGUUGUUUUAUGAUUCAUUUCUGUGGUUGGUUUUUGAUGCUGUACAAGGUUGUUUCUAGGUUCUUUGUAGGUUCUUUGUAGGUUGUGUGCUUGUAAGGCAUUUAAACCUUGUUGGUUUAGGCUGUUGAAGGCUGGAUAAGUUUGGUUUAGAUUGGUGGUCUAACGUUACUUGUUUUAGGUUUCUGUUUUAGCUUGGUUUAGGUUAGUUAUUUCAAGUUGGUUGUUGUAGGUUGUUUGAUGUCAUUUUGUGAAAGUUGAUUUGUGUUGUUUGUUUUAGGUGUGUUGGUUUUCCUCGUUUCUGUUAGGCUGUUUGGUUGAUGUUUUUUCAGAAAGGUUCUUUGGGGUAGGUUGUCUUAGUCUGGUUUAGAUUUUCGACUGAGGUAUCUUGGUUCAGGUUGUUUAGGUGGUUUUAGUUUUUUUUGAGGAAGGUUGUUUGAGGGUGUUUGUUAGAGGCUGUUUCUUGGAGGCUGAUUGUUUAAGGUUGGUUCUUUUAGGUUGAUUCUUUUAGGUGACAUGUUUUAAGCUCUUUUUGUUCAGGAUGGGUGUUUUUUGUUUGUUUUAGGUUGGUUUAGGUCAUUUGGUUGAGCUUCUUUGCUUUAGUGUGCUUUAGGUCAUUGGAUUAAGGUUAUUUAGAUUAUUUUAGGUUGGAGGUUUUAGAAGGAGGUUUGCUUUAUGUCAUUUGGGUGGGUGUGUUUCUGUUGAGCUAGGUUUAGGUUGGUUGGAUUAGGUUGUUUGAGUUGUUUUUAGGUCAGUUGGUUUGAGUUGUUGCUUUAGCUGGGUUUCUGUUGUUUGAGGGUGUUUUUUUGAGGCUGGUUGUUUGAGGAAGGUUGCUUGCAGUCUGUCUCUUUGUAGGCCAUUGAAGCUUGGUUGUGUGGGGUUGUUGAAGUUGGGUUUUGGUUGGUUGUCUUAUGCUGCUGGAUUUAGGUUUGUUGGUUUAGGUUUGUUGAGGUUGGUUAGUGGGUGGCUUGAGGUUGUUUGGUGUCAUUUUAAAGCUGAGUUCUAUUGUUUGGUUUAGGUGUUUUGGUAGUUCUUGGUUUUUUGAGGUUGUUUGGUGGAUAUUGUUUCAGGAAGGUUCUUUACGGUUGGCUACUAGAGUUUGGUUUAGGUUUUUGGUCUAGGUGUCUUCUUUCAGGUUCUUUAUGGUUGGCUACUAGAGUUUGGUUUAGGUUUUUUAGGUUUAGGUCUUCUUUCAGGUUCUUUAGGUUGGCUUAGGUGGUUUGAGGCUGGCUGUUUGAGGCUGGUUGGCUGAAGCUGGUUGCUUGAGAUUUGUUGCUUGGUUGGGUUUGGUUGUUUACAGUUGUUUGGGUUUGGUUGGUUUUUUGAUGAGGUUCUGUGUAGUUCUUUGUAGCUUGUUUCUAUCUUCUAUGUUCCUCCCCUCUUUUUCUUUUUGUGUAGCUUGUUUGCUUUACCUUGUUUUUUGAAUCUUGUUUGUUUAAAUGUUGGUUUAAGUUGGUUGUUUUAGCUCUGUUUCCAUUAGUUGUUUUACGGUUGAUUUGUGCGGUUGGUGGUUUGAUGCUGUGUGAGGUUGUGUCUAGGUUAUUUCUAGGUUCUUUGUAGGUUGUGUGUUCGUAAGGCAUUUAAACCUUGUUGGUUUAGGUUGUUUUAAGGUUGAAUGAGUUUGGUAUAGGUUGGUGGUCUUAAAUUACUUGGUUUAGGUUUCUGUUUCAGCUUGGUUUAGGUUGUUUGAUGUCAUUUUGUGAAAGUUGAUUUGUGUUGUUUGUUUUAGGCGGGUUGGUUUUCCUCGUUUCUGUUACGCUGUUUGGUUGAUGUUUUUUCAGAGAGGUUCUUUGGUGGGAGGUUGUCUUAGUUUGCUUUAGAUUUUUGGUUGAAGUUGAGGUAUCUUGGUUCAGGGUGUUUAGGUGGUUUUAGGUUUUUUUUGAGGAAGGUUGUUUUGAGGGUGUUAGAGGCUGGUUCUUGAAGGCUGAGUGGUUAGGGUUGGCUGGUUUGGAUUGGUUGGUUGAGGUGAUUUUUGGUUGAGGUUAUUUAGUUGGUUGGUUUAGGCUGGUAUUUUAGGUUGAUUGUUUUAGGUGGGAUGUUUUAUGCUGUUUUUUGUUUAGGAUGUUUUCUCCUUUUUUGCUGUUGUUUUAGGUUGGUUUAGGUCGUUUGGUUGAGCUUGUUUGCUUUAUCGUGGUUUAGGUCACUGGAUAUAGGUUAUUUAGAUUAUUUUAGGUUGGAUGUUUUAGAUUGGUUCUUUUAGGUUGGUGGUUUCAGUAGGCUAGUGUAUGAAUGUGGUUUUGGGCACAUUUGUCGAAGUAGGUUGGCAAAAUGUGCCAAAGAAGUCGUGGUAAGGGGCCUCAUUUCUGAGAGUGCACCUUGAGGGCAAGAAUCUUUCCCAUCCCUGCCAGGACAGCGGUGGCUGCUCCAAAGCACUGGGACCCCUGGCAGCAUCUCUGCAUCCUAUUUUGUACCGCUGCUGUCUCUGGCUCUGCAGGGGAUGAAGACAGCGAGCUCUGCAGUGCUCCUCCAGAUGUCAUUCCCUUGGUCUUACCACUUCUGUCCAGCUGACAAGGGUUUCCAUCCAAAAGAUAAGCCUUGCAGCAGAGAACUUCCAGCAGCCUUGUCCAGCCUCCAGUCUUCUCCCUCAGCCCCCACCAAGGAAUUCCACCAGCUCUUCAAGGGCUUCCUCUGGGAUGUGUGCGGGCUGCCCCUGGGCCAGCUCUGGCAGUGGACACGGGAGGCUGCUCCCUCUUAUCCUGCCCGGGGCAUUGUGACCGCUGUGUUGCCGGGUGCUGGCAUUGUGACGUGGUGGUGACGGGGCCCCUGUGUGCAGCCCCACCCACAGCCCCACCCGCAGCAGCCCUGCCUGCCAGCCCUCCGCCCAGCACCCUAUGGAGGAAGCCUUUAGGGUGCUGCCCCGAGGCAGUUCCUGUGCCCAGGUGGACCAGGGGCUGUCCCUGCUGUUUGGUGGCCCUGCACUGGGCACAGCUGCUGGGUAGCCCUGACACCUCCUUUUCCGAUCCGAUUGUUUGUGCACUGAUUGUAGGUAGUUGGAGGUUUGUUGUUGAAUGUUCAAUGUUCAAGGUUGUUUGUUUAGGGUUUCUUAUUUCAGGCUUGUUUGUUUGAGGUAGGUUGUUUCAAGUUAUUUGGUUUAGGUUUCUUUGUGGAGGCUGUUUUUCUUUAGGAUGGGUGAGGUUGUUUGUUCCAGGCUGGUUUAGGUUGGUUGAGGCCUGUUGUUUGAGGUUGGUUGGUUGGUUGAGGCUGGUUGUUUACAGUUGGUUGUUUUCAGUUGCUUUUUUUAUACUGAAUUAGGUUCUAAUUAGGUUGUUUGUAGAUUCUUUGUUUGUAGGUUGUUUGUAGGUUGUUUGUUUCUACCUUGUUAGGAGCUUGUUGUUGUUUUGAGUGGUGGUUGAAGUUGGUUGCUUUAGCCAGGUUUCUGUGAGUUGUUUUAGAGUGUUUUGUUGAGUCUGGUUGUUUGUUUGAGGUAGGUUUUUUGCAGGUUGUGUGUUCGUAGGCCAUUUAAGCUUGAUGGGUUUGGGGCUGUUGAAGUUGGGUUUUGGUUCAUUGUCUUCGGUUGGUCGUUUUAGGUUUGUUGGUUUAGCUUGGUUGAGGUUGGUUAUUUGGUGAUUUGAGGUUGUUUGGUGUCAUUUUCAGGUUGAUUUCUGUUUUAGGAAGCCUAGGUGGCUGUCUCUGCUGUUUGUUGGCCAUGCAGUGGCCAGAGCUGCUGCAUUUUUCUGACGCCUCCUUUUCCAUUUAGUUUCCCAGGACAAACCUCAUGCAUUUACUCUUGUCUGGGGUUUUGGCAGAAAGAAGUCCUGCAAGCCAGAGACUAACGAUAUUAGCUCUGCCCCGUGUGCACUAGAGGGUUACCUUUUGCUACCUAGUUAUCUGAGUGUGAGGUACGCCAGUGCAGGAACAGUACCUUUCCAUUUUUGGAGACUGAAAUUGUAAGGGAUGAUUCUUCUGCAGAGGGAUCUGAACAGUUCGAGAACUGGGCAGUCACCAGUCGCAUGAAGUUCAACAAGAGCAAGCACCAGAUUUUGUGCCUGGGACAUGGCGACCCUGGAUGUACAUCCAGACUGGGGGAUGAAAUGCUGGAGAGCAGCUCUGCAGAAAGAGACUGGGGGGUUUUGGUGGACAGCAAGUUGAACGUGAGCCAGCAGUGUGCCCUGGCAGCCAAGAGGGGCAACCGUGUCCUGGGUGCAUCCAGCACAGCAUUGCCAGCCGGGCGAGGGAGGUGAUUGUCCUGCUCUGCUCUGCACUGGUGCAGCCUCACCUGGAGCUCAUGGUGGCUACAGCUUCCUCACCAGGGGAGGAGGAGGGGCAGGCACUGAUCUCUUCUCUCUGGUGACCAAUGACAGAACCCGAGGGAAUGUCAGGAAGAUGUACCAGGGGAAGUUUAGGUUGGAGGUUAGGAAAAGGUUCUUCCCCCAGAGGGUGGUGGAGCACUGGAACAGGCUCCCCAGGGAGGUGUCACGGCCCCAAGCCUGACAGUGUUCAAGAAGAGACUGGACAAUGCCCUCAGACACAUGGUGUGAACUGUGGGGUUGUCCUGUGCAGGGACAGGAGUUGGACUCGAUGAUCCUUGUGGGUCCCUUCCAACUCAGGACAUUCUAUGAUUCUAUGAAAAUAUAUAUCCAUGCUAAGAGUGUAACAGUUUUCCUAUGCUUUAGGAGCUUUGCUGGUGUAGCCAUAUUGGCAAAGCCUUCAUGCUUAAAUUCUGAUCAAUUUUUAAAGAAAACCCUUUGAUAUUUCCCUAAAAAAUAACUAUAGCAAAGGUGUAGUGAUUCUGGGUGCUACAUUAGAAAACAGAGGGCAGGGCAGCAAGGUUGAGAUUGUAAAAGCGAGUCAGCCGUGCUAUGUCUGUGUGGCUCAGUAAAGGAAAAAUAAGGGGUCACUGCAGCUGAGUUAUGUGGAAUAGCCUGCAUUUAUAAUGCUUAGAUCUAGUCCCUUAGUAGCAGAUCUGUGAUAGAAAUAUCUGAUUGAAACAGUCCAAAACAGAACUUGCAAGGCAAUGACCUAAGAGUUAACUAGUAUGAAUAAUCAGAAGGUCAGUGAUUGCACCAGAUUCUUGGUUAGCUUUUACUUAGAAGUAAUGAUUUCCUUUUAAUGACAUGGCUCACAUGUAAAGUGCAUUUCUCCACUUUGUGAUAUUUUUUUUUCUCUCAAGCUCAAGGUAGCAUGAAUUAAUUUUUACCUAAUUUUACCCAAUUAAUUAGAAACCAUAUCAUAUUUCUGAUUUUCAGCCAAGGCUGAUUUCAAUUUUGAUUACGUUGUACAAAAAAUAGAACUUCUUUACAGUGUUGUCUUUCGUUUCCUUUUCUGCCAACAUUUUCUGAAUUUUUUAAAUGUCAUUAUGAAGACAAAUUAAGGUCGAUUUCAUAACCUCAGGUUUAAAUUUGUUUGUGUUUUUAAUGAAGCCACAUUGUGGUGUGCAAUCACAAGUUACUUUAUCUAAUCCGACACCUGCCACAUUGUUUCUGUCAAUGUUAACUUUAGAGUUUAUUGUAAUUGUUGUCAGCUUCCUCCCUCUUUAUUUUGUAACUACCUUUGCAGUUAGGUAAUUUUCGGGAAUUUAGCAGAGGCAAAAUGUAAGUUUUCAUUAUUUUUAGUUGUAUAUUAUACUGUUUAACCACUGAAGUGUCUAAGAGCAGACAAAGUCUUCCUUGGCCUUUUUUGAUUUAAAGUUCCUUUCAGCUUGCCAGUGUAAGGUGGAGUCCUUCUGAAAAGAAUUUCAUCGCACGGACUACAGGACUGUUUUUCUUGGUUGCCUUUCAAAACCUCAUCAAGAAAUAUUUCACAGCUCCCUCUGGGUCUGCAGGUUGCAGGCUGAAAAACACAUCUCAGGUACCAGUGAGGAGACCUGGUGACUACAACAAAUUUUGAGUGGCAGAUGAUUUACCUUGACUGGUGAGAUUUCUGAAGUAGACAUCUCAGUUAGGUAUGCCAAGGUAGGUGGAAUGGGUAUGGAAUAAAAUAUGGAAGUAGAAAGUUGAAGGAAUUGUUUAUAGUCUUUUGAGUCAAUACUGGUGGAAAUAGUAUCUCCUUAAUAUUUCACUUGAAACAGAAGAAACAAACUCUUGAGAAGGUGAUCAUCAAGAAAAUGUCAGCAUUGGCAAUCAUUAAUUUAAAAGAAUAGGACCUUCCAGUCUUCACCAGGACCAUGAUCUGAUGCUGUAGUCUUGUAGUUAAAUGCUACUCUGUACAAUCUGCACUGAAACCCAAGGAAUAUGUUCUCGUUUGCUCUUCAUUGUGUUGUUGAGGUGGUGAAAUUAUGGUUUAGUGCCAGCAGAAGGCCAAAUUAAUGGAUAUGUCCAAAUGUAUUCAGAAAUAAGUUGCUUAGUGAGGGUCGUCUAUUUAUUUGCACAUAUAUUUGGUGUACUCACUAAGCAAAAUUUCACCUCACAAGUCGUAAUAUUUGCACAGUGUAAUUUCAGAAAAGGCUGUGAUCCAUAAAGAACUUCCCAAACAAGACAACAGUAAAGUACAUUUAAUUGGAAGAAUUUGUUGUUUUUCAAAACAAUGAGGCUGUUUAAUAAAGGUGAAACAAGUACUAAAAUCCAGAAAGCAGGCAGUGCAAAGUCUACAACACCCUUAGUUUUACCCCUGUGUCCAUACAUGCUCACCAUCCGUCAGCUGAAGUUCCUAACUAGCUGUCGCAUGAAACGUCACUCCAUGGUACUUGCAUUUGCUUUUUGCAUUAUGAUAUUUGCACUGAAACUUACUGUCCAUUGAUUAAGUUGUGAUCUAGACUGGUAACGACUCCAACCCAGAGAAACAUUUAAGUAUACUUUAACAAAUUUAAGCAUAAUUUAAGUGCUCGGUUGUUUGGGACCCAGGAACUGAUCUUUGAAUUUCCCAGGCCCUUGACUCAUUAUAGAGAAGCCCAGUUUUCCUAAGGCAGUAAAUAGCUGAUUGAUGCAAAGUGCAGACUACCCUCAUCUGAACUGCAGAGAAACUUCAGGAAGAUGGACAGAUGCUUCCAUAAAUAGAGAGCGGAAAAUGUCUAAGUUCCUGAUGGAAAGUGUAUAAUUUAAUCAAGGUGGAAACAUUGCAUGGCAAUGUGCUGGUUUCAAUAUAUUUUUUUUUUUUAGAAAAUAAAAUCAACAGUUCAAGUAUUUUCACUGCUGAGUCUUGGAGUCUUGAUGUUUAAAGUUUUUCCAUGAACACACAUACAGAAUCAGGCAUUUGAAUCAGCUGUCAUUUAAUCAGCUGGCAUUUAAAGGAGAAUGGAUGAAUUAGUAGAGGCUACCCAAUAUAAUUUAUAACAAAUUCCCUUCCUGAGAAAGCAGCAGAAUUUUAAAGACCACUUGAGUGUAAUCAUUGGCAACAUCUGCCAAGAAUAAUCAUAAAAGGAGGUAGGCUAGAGGUGGAUUUCAGGAUGAUCUUUGGAGUCCGAGGACUUCACAUUCCAUUAGAGAGAUAUAAGGGCAGAGAUAGGGGACUUUUAUAUAAAUUUGAUUAAUAUAAGUCCUCAGACAUACAUAAUGUACCUCCAGCCAUCAAAGUAUGAUAGAAUUAGAAAUAAGAUGGGUGAUGUUUGUAUACCCUUUUCCUAAACUUUUCAUGGGGUUAUACCAAGUACAGAGAUCAUUUUGGUAACAAAUCCUCUCCAGGGGUCUUCGCAAGAAAUAUCCCAUGUCUUCAUUGUCAGCGUGGCCCGUGAGAAAACUUCUGUUCAAUUUUGUCUAUUUUGGACUAUGAGUGGGCAAAACCUUUGGUAUGAAAGCUUACAAAUUGCUGGUUUUGUGUUCUGUAAAAGCAGCUCCUCCUAAAACCUGCAAAUUCCAAAUAUUUUCCUCUGUUUGGGAACUACUCAUGGAGCAGUGCAGAGAAAAAUGUGCUGAAGCAUUCUAAUGUAAUGAACUUUAAAACAAAAAUUAUUAUGGAACCUUAAAUAAUGGGUCACUACUGUGAUUGUACUAUUAUUUACUUACAGAUCAGAUGACUGUUUAUUUUUGCCUUAGCUUAGUGUGGCUCUCCUUAGCUACAAAAGCAAAAUAUUGAUGAGUCAGGCAGCUAAAACAAGAUGCAGAAUGUAGGAUGCUUCAAAUAAUGCCAAACAUUUUACCUAACAUCUAUCUAAUUAGGAAUUAGUUCCCUACUUAGGAGCAGACAACAGUUGUCUCCAGAAGUAAAGUACCUUUUCUUUCAUCAGUUUUAUCUACAUAGGCUGGAUCUGGAUCCUGACCAUGUAAAUUUGUUUUCUGUCACAGUAGGUAUAGUUAUACAUGUUGUAUAAUUAUACAGUAUAUGUACCUAGGUACAUUUCUUGUAUUUUAAUCUAACUAAUUUUGAACUCCCAGUUAUUUCCUUAUCUCUUUAGAGCAAAAAACAGUAAGGAGCUUCAUCUUAAAGGUUUAAACAGACCUUAGAACACGGAUAGAAGACAUCCAUUUUAACUUUUUAUGCAUUUGGCUGUGUUUAAACUUCAUACAUAAGCUGAUAGGAUUACAGAUGAACAUGCACCAGCCAGAAAGUUGCAGACAACCAAAUAAAACUCCCCUGAGGUAACCCUGAUGUCGUACAGCAGUGUAUUUCAGAUGGAGAGACUGCCAGAGCAGAAGGAUGAUCUAGACUGGCUGGGAACUCCGUGAAACUACCCAGAGAAGACCUUCACCUCCAGAUUUGAAACCAGGGACUGGUGCCUGUGCUUGCCUGACCCCUGCUAGCAGAGGGAGUUGGGAUCCUGCAUUUACCGUGAGGUGUUCAAUAGCAUAGCCAGGGGUCAUUUUUUCUCCCCUCUGACACACAUUGUGGAGGCUUUAGCACUCUUGGAAGAGGUUUUGCGCUCAAAGGCAGAGAGGUAGGUACAUUCAACAAAAAUGCCUUCACAGGCCUGAGAAACUUCAGUGUUUAUCCUCUGUGUUUUGACAUUAAGUACUUCACCUUAUUUGUUUUGCCAGCUGCCUUGGAGAGAUGUGUUUCUGUAAUGGCUCAUCCUGUAAGUUAAAUGGCAACAGUUGGCUGGUUCUUUGUGGUAAGAGUUGCUUUGCAUUGAUACACAUUGAAAGGUCAUUAACAUCCAAAUGGCAGUAGGUGAAAAGCUCACUGGCACAAAAUGUACUAUAUUUUGACAUCAUUGAUUACUCAUUAGCAAUUUUCAAAGGUGGGCUUUUCAAAAUAGAGCUGUCCUUUGAAAAAGUAGCCAGGCCAGAGUAUCUCUGAAUAUGUUGUUACAGGUUUUUGUCUUCUUGUCACUGUGUUUGAACAAGUAUCUCAUCUUGUCCUGGCACCACAGGUUACUCGUUGCAGCUGUAAUAGCAGAAGCUGAUCCCUGUUUUGCUCUUUGAAAAUGUGCAUGCUCAAUGCAAGUAUUAAGAGCUUCAUUCCUCUCCCAAAACAUGUAGGAAAAUCACUUUUUUUUUUUUUCCUGGUAGUCUUUUCUACUUUUAUUUUUAUCUUCUCUAGGGUAUUUUAAAAAGUAAUCCCAAAGAUACUCAAAGCUAACGACAGUGAAAAGGAGCACAAUGCCACUAAAGCUUUAGGUGUUCCAUGCCAGGUCCUCGUGGCAUUAACUAAUGAAGCCCCGCAGCACUUCCAGAAUGCAGCUUGCACUAAACAUUUUGUUAUCUGGACCCCAUCAUAUGUAAUAAAAAUCAGCACACAGAAAUUCAAAUUAACUGGACAGUUGAUAUCCUGUACAGGGCAAGCCAGCUGGUGACUGGGCACCGGGAUGAAAGUGUAGGAACUAGGGAUCUGACUUCAGGUCCGUGUGAGAGUUGUUACAGCUUUUCUAUGGUUCCUAUUGCCUGAAGUGCUUCUGAGCACGCAUAUGCAUGCCAGAGCAAAACAUGGACAUGCACCAACCCCUCAUGCAUUUCUGUCAGUUAUAGAAAAGUCCAGGCCUGGGAGGCUGAGCAGGGUCGUGGUGUGCUGUGGUUAAGCAAAGAAUGAAUACUACAGGGCUCAUAUCCUGGGCUAUGUCAGUAGCACCCAGCUAGUAAGUCCAGACAAAGCUAAUUAUUGUAGGACAAGUCGUUUUUCCUCUAGUUUUUCUUCCCUUUUUUAAUCACCUUGCAUUUUUAUUUUAAUCUCUGGAGGACAGGAAGAACAAGUGUUGCUUAACAGUGUGGACAAAAGUUUAGUGCGACUUUAGUUGUUGCAAAGCCGGGAGUGACUUGAUAGAACUUCCCAAGAAACAAUCACUAUGAUCUUAAGGCAAGACUAGUCCAUAUCCACUAUAAAUUCUACUCUGCCACAUGCCUUAGAUAUAUUAAAUAUACCUUAGAGAUGCUCAAACAGUGUAUUAGCACCGUGCCUUCCUUGUAUACAUCAAUAUGUAAGCCAACUAAACGAGUUCCUGAGUUACCAUGGAGCCAAACUUCACAGAUCUUGGGAGACAGUGAAAACUAAUAAAACAGAAUGAGAGAAUAACUCCCUGGGAGCUGGAUUUACAAAGCCCAAAUAGCUGAACACCGCAUCAAAUAUAUGUCUGCCCCUUUCUUAAAAGAUAACAGAUGUGGAUGAAAUUUGCUGGUCAGAUUCCAUUGUUGGGCACGUCCAUGAUGUACAGCUGGGGUGUUUUUUUCAGACAAAAUACAGCCUAGCAUUUCCCCUGAGGUGAAUUUCUUAAGCCUCUGUGUCUCUGUUGGACUCUGCUAGAACCUCUCAACUUCAACACACUUAGCUUUUUCCUUUCAUCCCAGCAAGCACUGCCCCCAGGGUUUAUCAUCAGGGGCAGUGCUAUUACAAAAAAAAUUUGAGCACCCACCAUCCUCUUGGGCAACUGCAGUGCAAGAGAAAGGAAAGAGUGUUCAUUUCUUCCUGAGCAGCUCAGGAAAUGCAAGCAGCCUUAAGAAAGGAUGGAAUUAAUUUUUCUAAAUGCAGAUACUUUCAUGUGAGCAAGAGGUCCAAGUCACUGGAGAGAAAUGUCUGCUUUUAAACUUCUAUUUUUGCCUGAGAUGAACAACAGCAUAGACCCCCCCAUCGUUGUAUUGAUUAGAUUUCAAUCGAUUAUCAGACCUCCAGAUACUGCUCUGCUGGAAGCAUCAAUGCUGCAGAGGUACCACAUGCAGCAUGCUCUUCCCCAGCAGCCUCUGGACAGCCUGUCUGGUUGCACUGGUACAUGAACAUCCAGGACAAAUUCUUGUUCUUAUUACCUCUUCUCCUGAAACCAGUUAAUUUUGCUCCUCAAAAUCUGAAUCUGGGAAUGGAAGAUAAAACUCAAAGCAUGGGAGUGGGGACUGGGAGAUCUCUGGAGACAAGAAUGUUUCAUUCUCUCUUCACAGAAGUAGAAUAUAGUAAAGUUUUUAUUUUUCUAUUUCUUAUGGGCAUUUACUAAAUGACUGGGUAGAUUAAUUUGUUUUCCAAUCUAAGCAGCUUUGUUACUAAAUUUAACGUGGAAUCCUGUGUGUGUUGGGAAAAAGUCAGCUGUAGUCCCAUGGAUUUUCUCAAAACAUCUUAAAAAACCUACAAGCAAAUUCAACAGAAAUGUGUCCAAUUUUUAGUGAGGCUAGAAACUAUUUAAUAAUCUCAAAUAGAUACUAUGAAUGCUUGUCCCUGUGGGUAAGGUCUUGCAGGAGAAGUAACCAGCUAAUCAGCUAUUAAUCACUUCUUUCCUGUGAAUAGAAAAAUCUGAAAUACUGAAAUCUUCAAACCCUGCAGUGGCUCACAUCAAGCUUCUGGUUAAAAUACUGUCUGUGUUGGAUUCUUUGGUUGUAUGCAAAGGUGACACCAGAAACAGCCAAUACUCUACAAGAAAGUUGUUGGUCUAUUUGGCCAAUGGCUGUUUUCUUUAGGCAAAUAGAUUGUUGCCUGAAGAGGGGAAUAGGACACUGGGGCUGUUCAGCUGUGACCUUCUCCCUUCCCUUCAGGAGCUUUUCUGCUGGAGGACUGUAGGUGGGAGUGGGGGAGCUGCUUUUUGUGGCUGCUUGUCCUCACCUUCUCCAGAAGCAGUAACUGCAACUUGCAUUGCAGGGAGCAGGAUUGGGUCAUUCCUGUGUCAGAAAAUACAGCUAUUGAGUAUUUGAGCACUCUUCCACUUCUGUGACUCAUGAGCCACCUCAGAAGGAUGCGUGCCACAGAAGGCAGUGUCUGGCCAAGGCCCAUGAAAGCAAGGAAAUCAGGUCCUUCUGAUCAGUGGCAGAAGACUGAAUAAUAAAAGCACUUUAUUAUCCCAGGGCACCGACACAGAGACAAGUGGCUCAGUUCUUCUGCCUCUCUGAGGCUCCUGUUGGGGAGAAUCCAUCCCAUGGAUGCCCCUGGCAGGAUCAUUUGUUUCCUGCACAGACAUUGCUGACAAAAUCAGUGCUGUUGACUUACUGCAGAAAAUGGUAUCAGGGGUCCAGAGCAAACUAGUCCUACUGCAGUCCUGAAAAAGAGCAAGUGAUCUGAAAAGACAUCAUUAAACUUCCUUUCUACCAGGUAAAUGAGGAAGCUUCUACCUGGAGAAAAAAGGAAAAGUGCUCUUUUUUGUUAGCUUUCUCUAAAGAGAAAGAUCAUCUUUGAGGUUAUUUUCUGGCAUGUGCCUCCUGUUAGGCCUCAGCCAGCUGAACUGUUUUCAAAAGCACUGGAAUGUAGUUUCAGCAAUUAUCGGUCAAUGGAAACAGAGGCAGUGAGGGUAUUCUGCCAUACGGAAGUCCUGGGUGAAAACCCAUACUUUGUGGCUAAGAUGUCAGAGAAAACAGAUUUAACAAAUUAAUGUGAAUCUAGGGAGCUGAACUCCUUGAAUGUGACUCUGCCCUGAACGAUGGAAAAUCGUAGCUGUUGCUGGAUGGGGGACGGCACUUUUCAACUCCAAUUUCGGACACUUGACUCAAACUCAUCUGAUGAACCUUUUGCCCUCCUGACGGAAAAUAUUUAAUUUCUCACCAUUUAAGAAAUGUAUUGCUUAGAAGGCAUAAUUACUAAAUUAGAGAUGCAGCUUUUGGUGUAAGCCAGCAUAAUCCUUUUACCACAGAAACAUUCCAUUAUACAGUAUUUCGACCACUGUGUGUGUGAAAUUGCUGUCUAAAAUGUGUUACCUAAAAUUGAUACUUGCUUGUUUCAGGACAAAUCUGUUAAAAAAGUCUAAAAGCAAAUUAUGCAAAAUAAAGCAACUUACUCUUUAUUGUCCUGGGUGGGAAACAUUUGAGUUCUGCCUAGUUUCAAAGCAGUUUCGAAGGAAUUGAAAUGGUUUAGUGUCAUACUACAAUGGUGUCAUUUUUAUAGGCUAGUUAAAUUAUUUUCAUGAGACAAUUAAAUGCCUUACCCUGUCAGUGCUAUAUUUGCAAAGGAAUGAGUAGUGUGCUCACUUUGUACUGAGAUCAUGGAAGCACACUGCUCUGAAUGAACUGAGUUUGGUCCAGGCCAAUACACUAUAAUGACUGAUGAUUUGGUAACAGUUCACCAGCAUGCACCAAAGGUUGAUAUCUCUGUUGUGACAAUGGAUAGCCAUUGAAGAUCUCAGUAGCGAAGCCACAAAAAAGUAUUUUUGGAAGUGUUCUGCUUUUCCCAAGCUCUCGCUGAGAUUGGGAGGGGGGCCCAAAACUAAGGGUGAAGACUGGUAAGUGUUUAUGGAGCUGGAGGUACCUCCUCUCUUCAAAGUCUGCUCUCAAAUCUGCUGAGGAGUUUCCCGUUGCCUUUCAGUCUUUGGACCCAUCUGUAUAUGAAAGAAUUACUGUAUUCCUGCCUCUUUUAUGAAGUUCAUUGAAAAGUCUGUGUGAAGGAACUUGGAGUAAUUCUGCUGGUACUUGUGGGUAUACUUUUCUGGAAAGAGAAGUUUCUGUUAUAUGUUGUCUUCUAAGAACAAAAAUCCCUGAAAGGUUCUGGUCCUCCAUGUGAUGUAAUUUGCUUGUACAAUAAUUCUCUUCUUCUGAAUGAAGCCAGAAAAGAGUUUCCUGUUAUAUUGCACAGAAAUUAGGUGAUGUGCGGAUGAAUAUGUCAAAUAAUGGUGUUCUAGUGUAUAGCAAUGAAGUCAACACUAAUAAAAGUUUGCUGUCUCCCUAAAGUGGUCUUGUGCAUUAUAGUGUCAAAUGCUCCAGGUCUUAUAAUGCAAGAAGACAGGAUGUUUCCAAGGCAAUGAGAUGAGGCUAAUCAAAAUGUCAGAUAACACAAGUUUAGAUUGUUUGAAACAGAUCUUUAUGUAAGAUAGUAAGAGGUUCAUUAGAGGGCCACAAACUUAACUUUUUCAUAAAAAGUAAUCUUAAUAAUUUUUUACAUCAAUUCUUACCCCUGCUGCCUACAAAUUUGGAUUGAUAUAUCAAAAUACAUCUUACCUUUAACGUUCCUGUCAAACCUGAGCUGUGAUGCAUGGAGUUAUUCCCUACUUGGAGGGAUGCUUCUGUGAAACAGCUAAUAAAAAUGUGUCACAGACGGUGACUGAUGUCUGUUCUCCAAGGGUGUGUUAGCGUGGGACAAACACAGCAUACAUAUCCUCUUCUUGACACUGAAAAAUGAGAAAUACCUUGUAAAACCCACAAAAGUAUGCUCUAAUGGUCUUGCAGCAACCUUCUCAUUGUCUUUCUCCCUCCUCACACACCUUUCUCACCUCUUGACUCUUUCCCUUCCUGCCCUUGUAGGCUCUGAGCCUACAAUUCAUCUUGCAACGGGGUCCUUGCUGCCUUUGAGCAUGCCCUACACUUUUGCACAGGACAUUGACAGGGUCUGGUUCUCCUUUGUGGAAGAUCUCAGGCUGCUUUUUGCCAGCUUGGACCAUGAGGGGACAAAGAAAGAGCUUGUCCUGGUAAAAUAAGAUAUCGUUAAAAAAUUGAAACAAAACUCAGCAAUGAAUAAAAAUCUCAAUUCCAGCAACCUGGUAAUUUGUCAGUGCCAGGCGUCAGCCCACUAUUAGUCUUUUUCUGGAUAGAGAUGACAGAGCUCUGUUGACAAGCUGUAGGACUUAUUUUGGGAGCUGGCACCUGGCUCCCUGGCACAUCCCCUUGAUGGCUGUGUCACGCUCCUUGGAGCUGCUUUUGGCUCUGUGGAGGUUGCAGCCGGAGCGGGCUGCCCGGCACUCCCAGCCUGCCUACUGGGGAACCGCUCUAUUUAUUUUCAUUUUAUUUAUUUACAUUUCCAUGCACCACUGCGCGCAGGCCUAAGGCUGAGCAGAGCCUGCCAUAGCAGCAGGAGGGACAUCCCACUGCUCAUACAUGUGGAGCAUGAGAGAGAGGUUUCCUCUACCUCAGCCUUCCUCUCCUCCCAUGACCCUCUGUCCCCCUGCUCCUGAGCCUCUACCUCUUGUCCUUGCUUGGUGUCAUGGAUCAGUGGCACUGGACCACCAGAUGCAUCUCCAGGGUGCAAGUCCACCCCAUCCUUUCCCAUGAAAGGCCACGGCAUCUGAUCUGGAGCUUUCCUGCUUCCACUGCAAGAAAAUCUUUAGCAUUUUAAUAUACUUUCACAUUUUUAGAAAUAAUUUAUGUAUGGACAUAGACAGUGCUUAGUAAUCGUUUCUCAGAUGAAUGCGGAAUUUUUCUAAAAUUAAACUAUCAUUCUUUUCUCUUCACACUUGGCUGUCAUAUCUUUCUUAAUGCAAAUCAGUCAUUGACUAGAGACACCUACUGUACAAAGCUAUUUUAGCUGUCUGAUCGGUUAUAAAUUGAUUUUAAAAGUGAAGACGGUUUUGGGGAGAUAAGCUGGAAUUGGUAGGGAAUUGAAAAAAAUAAUUCAAAGGGGAAGUUUUGUAUUUGCAUGUAAGUGACUAUUUGCCUCUGUCUCAGAGCAAAGACUGUAAUCCAGGGGUCUUUCCUCUCUUUUCUCCUGCUUUAACUCUUAGACCAUGAUUCCCCCACCUUCCCUGGCCAUGUAUGAUGCAGAUCCCCCGCGGACCAGGAGCAGGUACCCCAGGGCAGAGCCCAAGGAAAAAACAUUUCCACUUUCAGGCUCCAUUUGAUAGCAGGUGAAAGGGGGAGAUUAUCUCUGAAGGAGCCUGACUACUCUCCUGCUCUGAAGCAAGUCCCUUCUUAAUGCAGGAAUGAAAAGGAAUCCAUUAUGGUUAGUUUCAGAGAAACCUCUCUCCACUGCAGUAUUUCUGCCCGCUAUGCUUCAAGUGCUCUUCAGAGGGAAUAUUCACAUUCUCUGGGUAAAGAAAAUGGCUUUGCUAACACAGCGGUAGUCUGCACAAAGCAAGACUGAUGCGGAGAAUAUUCACUGGGUACAACUUGGGAAGAUGGAAAAAUGUGAACUGUUUUCUGUUUUUCUUUUUUCUGCUCUUUAUUCUUCAGAGCCAGUUCUGAUAUUGUCUUCUGGGACUUGAACAAGAAGCUUAAUUUUUAAGGCAUGUCUGAUUUCUCUCUUUGGAUUUUUUUUUCCUGUUGCUUGCACUGCUGGUUCUUAGCAUGUAAUUAAAUGUAUACAAGCAGUGGCUGACAUUUUCAAUGAGUUCAGUUUGAGUGAAUAUGUUUACAAACUUUAUUGUUUGCAUACUGUGCCUAUAGGAACAGUAGUUAUCCUGAUGUGAGUACUGUGAGAGUUAAUUCUGAAGCCACACAGAUAAAUAAGUAUGGAAAUCAGGCUCUACCUACGAGUACUUCUGUGCUUUGCUGAUUUGUUGAACCAUUUCUUUUUCCCUAACGAAUUACUGUUAAGCAACACUAUUCAGAUUUUUGUCAAAAAUUCUGAGUAGUGUUAAUUGAAUAUAUUUGAAUAAACAAAUGCAUGUAACAGUUGCAACAUGCUUGUAGAUAUUCCGAGAGCAGAAAAAGAACCUAAUAAAUCAAAUCAAUUAGAAAUCUCAUGUUCCUUGCACAGCCCUGUUGUCCCUGAAUGCUCAUAAUUGGGAGUUCAAAGCUGAACAUCCUUUGUUACUUUCACAAAGUUUAAAGAGGUGUUUUUUUAACGUGUAGAUUUGCAGUUUCUCAGAUGUGUUCAGGAUUUUCUGAUGUGCUCCAUUUAAUACAAAAUUCAGGGCAGCUACAAUCCUCCUCUACGCUUCAGUUAGAAACAGAGUCCUGCGAUCGGAUUGCAGUUUUGGAGGGAGACCAAUUGUUAAAGAAAGUGACUCUUCCUUCCCCUUUUCCUUUCACCUAUUAAAAGAUACCCCUGGCUUGGCUUUUAAUGAAGCUUCCUGGAAGGCCUAUGCUGCAGCCUGUAUUGGUGGGGAGGUGUGAUGCCUUUGGCAACGCUGAGUGGCACAGCCUGGAGCCACCCUGUCCUACCGCACUGUAAAGGGAAAGCACUUCCCUGAUCCUUCUGACAGCUCUGUACAUCAGCUGUGCUCGGAGCCUUACACCAUCUGUUUGCAUCUUCGCUGUAACCUCUGAAAGUCUGUUUUAUUAAGAAUUCGGCACCAGAGCCUGGGCUACAAGUGAUUGCAAAUGCGUGACUUGGGGAUAAUUGUGCAGGAGCAGCUGGAGGAAGGCAGCCUAAGGGGCUGUCUCCCCUCUGUCCCGUUUUGCAGCAAAAACCAGUGGGGUGAGGAGGGCUGGCUCUUCUUGUUCCCCUGAAUCAGUAGACGGGUGUACUGUUUGCAGCUGGGGAGAGAAGCACAUCUCUAGGUGCACAGCUGUGCACCAUCCUGUGAAGCAGGAGCCAAACCACUGCUGCACCUUGCACCCUCAGGACACAGCACAGUCCGCCUGAAAGUUGGUCAUGCCACUUCCAGACUUCCCAUCACACUGUUUGACAGGGCAGGUUGUGACUGUCUCAGGGGUACCCUGUGGGCACAGGGUGCCUCUAGGCAGCACGAACUACU
Molecule: long non-coding RNA, 29258 nt
Organism: Columba livia (rock pigeon)
Lineage: Eukaryota; Metazoa; Chordata; Aves; Columbiformes; Columbidae
Exons: 4
Source: RefSeq, a predicted model, not a curated record